RNAcentral lists this ribosomal RNA (521 nucleotides) under uncultured Glomus. RNAcentral describes it as "SSU rRNA". It matches the Rfam family "Eukaryotic small subunit ribosomal RNA", at positions 569 to 1092 of the family's 1831-position model. Lineage: Eukaryota; Fungi; Glomeromycota; Glomeromycetes; Glomerales; Glomeraceae. The record is from RNAcentral.
AGCAGCCGCGGUAAUUCCAGCUCCAAUAGCGUAUAUUAAAGUUGCUGCAGUUAAAAAGCUCGUAGUUGAAUUUCGGGACCAUCAUGUUGGUCGUGCCUCGGUACGUACUGGCAUUGUUGGUUUCUCCCUUCUGACGAACCAUGAUGUCAUUUAUUUGGUGUCGUGGGAAAUCAGGACUGUUACUUUGAAAAAAUUAGAGUGUUUAAAGCAGGCUCACGCUUGAAUACAUUAGCAUGGAAUAAUGAAAUAGGACGUUUGAUUCUAUUUUGUUGGUUUCUAGGAUCGACGUAAUGAUUAAUAGGGAUAGUUGGGGGCAUUAGUAUUCAAUUGUCAGAGGUGAAAUUCUUGGAUUUAUUGAAGACUAACUACUGCGAAAGCAUUUGCCAAGGAUGUUUUCAUUAAUCAAGAACGAAAGUUAGGGGAUCGAAGACGAUCAGAUACCGUCGUAGUCUUAACCACAAACUAUGCCGACUAGGGAUCGGAUGAUGUUAAUUUUUUAAUGACUCAUUCGGCGCCUUACG